GUCCUCGCCGCUGGAGUACCCGUCGUUCUCUUCGGAGGCGUCCACUGACAGAGACGCCUUGUUCCAGCCUGGGUCGUGGUGAAAAAGACACAAAAACAAUUUGUGAAUUUUGCCAGGAGAACGCCACAGCCAUACGUAAAAAUCUCCAACGAGGAGCGCAAAACCACGAACUCUGAUCUGACACUGAAAGGCACAAAGAUCAGUCCAAACUCAUCCAAAAUCCCACAGAAGAUCAACAGUGAUAAGAGAGAGAACCCAGCAAAGCACGAAAACGAAUAAUUUGAUGGACAAAUCAAUGAUUUCUGAUGGGAGAUGCGAAUCAUUAUAAGGCUACUCUUACGGAUUGGGCUGAAUGGUUGAAGUGGAGCUUUGUUAAUGCUCAGUAUUUACACCACAAAAAAAAGUAGUAGAAGAAGAAAGAAUGAUUGAUUUGAGGUAGAGAAGGAUUCUUAACGGUGUCAUUUAGCCUCGAACUGACUGAACAGCAGAACUGCCUCCUGGAUUAUAGCCAAUGAGAAAUAAUUCGUCCAGGCUCACUACGAGGCUAAAUGACACGUAAAGUGGAUGUUCUGCUGCACUUUACCUCCAGUUAAAAUCAACCAUGACCACCACAAACAACAGCAAACACCCACUGUGGGCUGAUCCUCAGAGCAGCUCAGUACCUCUCCGCUUGCUCUGUAACAGACUAGAGGUACUCAUCCAUUUGACUCUGCUCAGAGCGAUGUGGGGCGCCGGCUCUGGAUGAGGAGAGACGGCCAGCAAAUGAGUGAGACAGCCAAUUGUGUCAAGUCUGAGAAAAAUGUGCACUUUGAAGGCCUGUGGUUAGAAACGCACAGAGGUUCUUGACUCUGAUAGGGAGAAAGUGUUAGUAAAUCAGUGGUCGGAAAGUUAGUACCUCAAUCAUUCUUAUGGAUAUUUGCUAAGUGGUUUAAAAUGAGUAUGGACGGAGCAUCUUUGCAACUUCACACAUGAUGAUGAUGACAAUGACCUGUGGAUGAAGGUGCACACAUGAUGAAAUAUACUUUACAGAACAUCUGCAUUCUUCAGAAAGCCAAAAACAUUAGUUAUAAAUAGUUCAAGCUGACUUCCAGGAUAUGCAGAUAGUCUGUACGGUUUCUCCUUCUACACAUUAAACAUGAUGAAUAUA
Long non-coding RNA from Mugil cephalus (flathead mullet), 1147 nucleotides. RefSeq lists it as uncharacterized. The transcript is spliced from 2 exons. NCBI's taxonomy places the organism in Eukaryota, Metazoa, Chordata, Actinopteri, Mugiliformes, Mugilidae. The record is from RefSeq and is a predicted model, not a curated record.